GACCCUAUCGUCUAGUGGCCCAGGACACCACCCUCUCACGGUGGAUACACGGGUUCGAAUCCCGUUAGGGUCGCCA
This 76-nucleotide transfer RNA is filed under the name Methylacidiphilales bacterium. Its description in RNAcentral is "Candidatus Methylacidiphilales bacterium tRNA-Glu". It matches the Rfam family "tRNA". From Rfam's summary of the family: Transfer RNA (tRNA) molecules are approximately 80 nucleotides in length. Their secondary structure includes four short double-helical elements and three loops (D, anti-codon, and T loops). Further hydrogen bonds mediate the characteristic L-shaped molecular structure. tRNAs have two regions of fundamental functional importance: the anti-codon, which is responsible for specific mRNA codon recognition, and the 3' end, to which the tRNAs corresponding amino acid is attached (by aminoacyl-tRNA synthetases). tRNAs cope with the degeneracy of the genetic code in two manners: having more than one tRNA (with a specific anti-codon) for a particular amino acid; and 'wobble' base-pairing, i.e. permitting non-standard base-pairing at the 3rd anti-codon position. The record is from RNAcentral. Lineage: Bacteria; Pseudomonadati; Verrucomicrobiota; Methylacidiphilae; Methylacidiphilales.